AUGCCAGCCGAGGUUUCGUAUAUGAGGAUGAACUACACACCUUUCACUUUUGUUUUCUGUGCAGAACAGCCACAAGAGCAAACCACAGACCGGUUCACGGAAGAUCCUGCCGAGUCUUACUCGAGGUUCAUGAUGAUGGUGGCUUUGAUGUGUGUUGGCGCUCUGUUUUUCGUGUGUUUGUUCGGUCUGAUUCAAGUCCUCAAGCACAACAGCCGCAGUAAUUCAGGUUUUGUUCUCCACCGCACCAGGACUUUAUCAAACCCAGUGACGGAUGGCCACCAGAGAACACACCGUGACCUUCCAGACGUACCCAAAGUUCAAAGUGAAAAAGAGGAACGUUAUAGACCCACAGUCCCAGAUUAUAUAAACACAGAACCGGCUGACUACACUGAUGUUGUUUCAGCACAAACAAAAGAUCAGAUCUACACAGACCUGGACAGCAAUAGACAGAGUCAAGUGUAUCAGAGUCUCACAGCUGAUUCUGUUCAAGAGUCGAUCUAUCACACUAUUGAUCAGACGAGAGACUGA
Molecule: long non-coding RNA, 528 nt
Organism: Cyprinus carpio (common carp)
Lineage: Eukaryota; Metazoa; Chordata; Actinopteri; Cypriniformes; Cyprinidae
Source: Ensembl